Long non-coding RNA from Marmota monax (woodchuck), 7991 nucleotides. RefSeq lists it as uncharacterized. The transcript has 3 exons. Lineage: Eukaryota; Metazoa; Chordata; Mammalia; Rodentia; Sciuridae. The record is from RefSeq and is a predicted model, not a curated record.
UAUUUUAUGUAAAGAUAAGGUCUUGCUGAGUUGCUUAGGGCCUCACUAAGUUGCUGAGGCUGGCUUUGAACUCACAUUUCUCCUGCUUCAGCCUCCCAAGCUGCUGGGAUUAUAAGCACAGGCCAUGGUGCCCGGCUGAAAAUGGUACAUUUUAAAAACUUUAACUUUUAAAUGUUCAUUACUGGUAUAUAGAAAAAUGAUAACCUUUAUAUAUGAGCUUGUAUCCUGUGCUCCUGCUAAACCCACUUAUUAAUCCUAAGAGUUCUUUUGGGGGGCUGGGGAUGUGGCUCAAGCGGUAGCGCGCUUGCCUGGCAUGCGUGUGGCCAGGGUUCGAUCCUCAGCACCACAUACAAACAAAGAUGUUGUGUCCGCCGAUAACUAAAAAAUAAAUAUUAAAAAUCCUCUCAAAAAAAAAAAAAAAAGAGUUCUUUUGGUACUUCAGGUUUUCUAUAUUUACAAUCAUGACUAAUAAUACUAAUAUAUGAAUUUUAGAGCUAAGUUUGGAAAAUAUAGUCCUUUUUUAAUAUUUUUUAGUUGGAUACAAUAGUUUUAUUAUUAUUUUUUUUUAAUGUGGUGCUGAGGAUCAAACCUAGGGCCUCGAAUGUGCUAGGCAAGUGCUAUACCUCUGAGCCACAACCCCAACCUGAGAAUGUAGUUCUCUCAGGAAAAAAGAUAACUUAGAGGCUAAGACAGAAGGAUUGUGAGUUCAGAGCCAGCCUUAGCAAAAGCAAGGCGCUAAGCAACUCAGUGAGAUCCUGUCUCUAAGUAAAAUACAAAAUAGGGCUGGGGAUGUGGCUCAGUGGUUGAGUAUCCCUGAGUUCAAUUCCUGGUACCAGGAAAAAAAAAAAAUUCUGAUGUGAUCCCAGCAUGGUGGUGAGUUCUUGUAGUUUCAGCUACUUAGGAAGCUAAGGCAGGGGGAUUGCUUGAGGUUAGGAGUUCAAGGCCAGCCUGGGCAACAUAGCAAGACAAGCAUCAGGGAAAAAAAAAAAUUUCUGAUGUGAUAAAAUGGCACAGAAGGAGUUAAUGAAGGCUUGCAAUCUUCCUAUCUCAGUCUCCUUGUCCAGGGGUACCACAGUGCCCAACAUAAAGGCUUAAUCUUAUUACCCUGUCUGAAACAGGGUAUGUGAAUAUUAUAGCUAUUACUAUCUUAUUUAAAAAAAAUUUUUUUGAUAUCUUUAUUUUGUUUAUUUUAAUGUAGUGCUGAGGAUCGAACCCAGGGCCUCACAUGUGCAACGCAAGUGCUCUGCCACUGAGCUACAACCCCAGCUCCUUAUUCUUUUUUUUUCUAUUAUUAAAACUCUGUUAUUUGAAUUGUCUUUUUAAAAAAAUACUUAUUGGGCCGGGGAUGUGGCUCAAGCGGUAGCGUGCUCGCCUGGCAUGUGUGCGGCCCGGGUUCGAUCCUUAGCACCACAUACAAACAAAGAUGUUGUGUCCGCUGAAAACUAAAAAAUAUUAAAAUUCUCUCUCAAAAAAAAAAAAAAAAAAAAAAACAACUUAUUUUUUAGUCAAAAGUGGACACAAUUAUCUUUAUUAUGCCAGGCGAGCGCUCUAUAUCUCUAAGCCACAACCCCAAUCCCUUUUGAAUUGUUUUUAUUAGAGAGUUUUUGUAAGAUACUUGGAUUUCAGAGAUUAUACUGCUAAAAUCUGAGAGUAUUUGUUUUUUCUUUUAUCCUAGGGACUGAACCUGGAGUGCUUUACUACUGAGCUACAUCUGCAGUCCUUUUAUUUUGAGACAGGGUCUCACAAGCUGCCCAGGCUGGCCUUGAACUUGUGAUCCUCCUGUCUCAGCCAAGUCACUGGAAUUACAGAAAGCUGAGGGUGAAUGACCCAGAAUCACUACAUCAGAAUAACAGGUAGUGUUUUCUGAGGAUUUAGAAUGUAUCGGACAUAGUCAGAAGGACUUUCCACUAUUAACUCAUCUAACCCUCAUAAUUCUAUGAGAGUUGUAUUUUUAUAACAUAUGAAUGCUUAAUAACGGAGUCAACAGGAAAAACUGAAAGAUUUGCAAAACGAAUAUGUACACAAUUAAUCUGAAAGACAUGGUGGUUCCAAGAAAGAGCGGGAUCUACCCCUCCAACGUCUGAUUUCACUGUGGAAGGAAAACUUAGGAUUAAGGGAUAUAUUACAUUUCAGAAGGAUUCCAGACGUUUCCAUGUUCUGAAAAACAAAAUGCGAUUUAAAGGAACAAAAAGUAACCAAAACCUCACCUUGAAUUUAAUUUUCAGAUACGCAGCAAUGAUUCUCCUCUCCUCCUCACCAGCCUUCUUUUGAAAAUGGCAGGCCCAGCGGGUGGGGAAAAAAUGGAUGCGUGAGCUAUUUGACCUUUUUUGAACCCAGUCUCUGCCGCCAUCCCGUCACGACUCCCACACGCAUGCGCAGAGGAACACUAGCCUGUUUGCUUUUCCAGAGGUUAGCCAUGCUGAAAACCGCCCUUAACCUUUUCCAUGGAACGUCCCUACGUGCCCUUCCAGCCCCAGCCGCCCGCCCUGAGUCCAAGCCCCAACGUUUUGUUGAGGACCUUCAUUCUGGGGUUCCACUUUCAACUUUCCCCUUAGGAAUUUUUUCUGCAGCUGAUUUCAGAGCAGAGGAUAGGAAUCAACCUCGCAUUUGGAUAUGAACUGCGCCACAAAAGGGCCCUUGCAUCAAAUUACUGCCACAGGAGUUCAACCCUGCGCCAACCCGCGCCAAUCCGUUAGAAACCAAUAGAAACGUAAAGUAGCCACAGGCUCCAUCCACACAAGCCAAGCCAAGCCCUGAGCCCUCCCUCCUCGUUCCCAGUCAACAGACUCGACCUGCCCCUGCCCGCACUCAUUCCUCUCAGAAAAUCCACGGCCGUAGAGAUGCGGGGCUCACCAUCGUAAACGGUGGAGGACUCCAGGAUAGCGGUUCCGGAGGUCCGCAACAUGCGAGUCUCAGUUCAGGUCCAAGACCGGAGCCUUUUCAGAGCCUCCUCAGCGCAGCGAGAGGGCGGCUGACGACCGAAGACCAAAGACGCAGGCAGGCUGACUCAGACCUGCAAGAUCAACUCGUGACUGAUGCUGCAGAAUAUAAUAGGGGCCCGAAGCCUCUGGGAAAUGUAGUUCAAGGCCGAGAAAAGUCGUAGACCAAGGCUAUUCUUCAGUCAUAGGCUCCGCAUCCAGGUUCUCCAGGGCCGUGCCGCAGAGGCUGCCGGGAAUGUUGGUGCAACGUGGACGCACACGCGCAAAAGCGAAUGCUCGCCCUUCCCGCGCCUCCCACGCCUCCCCAGGGACUGAGGGUUCUCUGCCUCAAUCCUGGUGAUGAGGCCCACCCCAGCGUUGUGGGGUGCCAAGAUUAUUUAGUGAGACAGGGUGUUAAAUAGUGUACCAAACCGAGUGCGUAAAGACUGGACUGCGUUGCUUUUUUUGUUUCCCCCCCUGUGCGUGGGGCUGUUCUUGCGUAUGAUUGUUUGAAUGAUGCACUGCAAUGACUGCGCAGAGAAUGUUGCGCAGUUAAGCUCAAUUCUGACGCAGAUGUAGAGUCUGCGGUUAUGGCUUGGUUUGACGCAUGCCUGAGGCUAUAUUUAUCUGUGAAUGCCUGGGGAUGGUUUUGAUAGCCUGCACUUCUGGUUGUUUUCCAGGGGGACUGUGCUUGUGGAUUACUGUGUAACUAUAAGAAGCUGGGUGUGGCGUUCUGAUAACUCCAUGUUGGUUAGGUUGCCUUCAGGACUCUGGCAGUUAGAGAAAUAAAAUAAUUUGAAGCAAAAUUGGAAAGGAGGAAGUAAGGUCUGUCAUCACAGUCAAGGUGUUAGGAUACCAAAAUGGUGAAAUAAGCAGGAUUCUGUAGAAACAAGUGUUUCACUGUUUCUUCCUUGAAUAUGAAAUCUUAGAUGAAUCCGACAAGUUCCUAAGUCACUCAUAGAUAAUAAGAAAUCUUAACUCUUUAGUUAAGUCAUUUUAGUGGUUAAAAUAAAAGACGUCAUGUUUAAUGGUGAAAAAACUUAAGACUUCAUUUAAAACAAGAAAUUUGAACCUUCUCUUUCCCAGACCCACUUUGAAAUAUAGCUAUAUUACAGGUAUUGGUUAAAGCAAUAGUUGAUGUUUAUAAACUGAUUACAUAUUUUUUUUUUGGCCUUAGAGCCAAUUAUAUUUUCACAAUUUUUCGCUUGACCUGGAUUUAAUUGGCUUGUAUGUAUAUGGUGGGUUUUGUGUGUGUGUGUUCCUCUUACUGUCCCUUUCCAGGUAUUACAACAAAUAUGUAAGACUCAGCGAUAAUUUUUCUGAAAGCUCAAAUCUUAUCCCAUAACUUUUUUGUUCUUGCAGAAUCUCUUUCACAGUCCUUAUCAUAGCCUACCUGGAUUGUAGAAUUGCUUUAAGGCUUCAUUUGUCCCUUUUCCUGAUUUGGAUUUCUGUGUCCUAACUGUUGCUAAUUUUACAUAUUUCUCAUUACUACUGACUGCCUCUCUACAACAGCUCUCCUAAAAUGCAGGCUUUUGAUGUAAAUAUUUUAAGUUGAAAGUUGUCUGAAAAUAUCUUUAUUGCACUGAUAGUUUUUGUUGGAGUGAGAAUUCUACAAAUCAGAAUUUAAAGGUAUUACUUAAUAAUCUUGUAGCUGAUGUUUAUAAAAAGACUCUUGUCAUCUGUUCCCUAUUUGUGUGUAAUCUUGUGUUCCCAACCCUCCUGGAAAUGUUAAAUUAUAUUCCCAGUGUACUGAAAUUUCAUAAUUUUGUGUCUGGGUGUGGAUCUUUUUCAAGUUUUUUAUGUGGAUACCAGGCAAGCACUUUUAGUCUAGAAACUAUUGUAUUUAUGAGCUGUUAAAUUUUCUGUGAAUUUUCCUUCCUCCUUCCUUCCUCUUUCUUGCUGAAAUGUAUAUUAUUUGAUAGAAAUUUUUCGUGGGUUGCGCCUCUAAAUGUUUUUCUCCUAUCUUCUCUCUUUUUAAAAAAAUAUUUAUUUAUUUAUGUAUCUUUAGUUUUAGGUGGACACAUUUUUUUUUUUUUUUUUUAAUGUGGUGCUGAGGAUUGAACCUAGUGCCUCAUGCAUGCCAGGCGAGCACUCUGCCACUGAGCCACAACCCCAGGCCCUCUCCUAUUUUCUCUUUUAUCUCUUUAUUUAACUCAAGAAUUAUUUUUUUGAAAUUUUGUUAACUUUAUCUUCCAAUAGUAUUUAAAUUUUAAAUUAUUUAUAUUGUUAAUUUCCUAGAACUCUUUCCUGGUUUUUAUUUUUUUCAUCUUCAUAGCAAUCUGUUCUGUUUGGAUACAGUAUUUUUCCUUAUAUAAUUAUGUAUUUUAAAAUAUUAUGUAGUAUGUUUACUGUCUGAUUCAUAACCAUAUGAAUUACUGAUUUGUAAUUACAUUCAUUAUUAUUUAUUUGGAGUUCUCAUGGCUCCAUGUAUACUCUCUUAUGACCAAAUUCCGUGUCCCUAUUUGACUUACUCUGUUCCUUUCAUAUUGGAAUUUUUCUCAAAUACAAGGUAGUCUUUCCUUCUAAUCAUUGGUUAGUGCUUGUCAAUUGACAAGAGUCCUGCUCUAGCCUUUUCUUUGCAAGAUCCACUGAGGUCAAAUCCCUUUGCCAUUUAAUUUUUCUUGAGAGGACUUCCACCUGUGUGAGCUAAGUUUUGAGUUGCUGGUAUCUGGGAAAAGAAGCCCCAGAAGGCUUCUGAGUGUGGUUUGUUGUCUAACUGUGCCUUAAUUGGCCCUUCUUUGGGUAUCCGCCAUAUCCUGUUAAGAUCAGUUUAUCCAGAGAUCAAAACAAGGAGGCAAAAUAAAGUGGGAAAGGCUGGAGUACAAGUUUGUGUAUAUACUUUCAACCAGAGGCACAUGUCACCAACUGCCCUUUCUGUGGAUUCUGGGCCUUGGGUUUGUUUGUUUUUUGGUACUGGGGUUUUAACCCAGGAAUGCUUUACCACUCAGCCACACCCCAUUCCAUUUUUUUUUUUUUUUAAGUUUUGAGACUGGGUCUCAGUUCCUGAGGGCCUUGAUGAGGCUAGCUUUGAAAUUGGGAUCCUCCUGUCUCAGGCUCCUGAGUUGCUGGAAUUACAGGUGUGUGCCAUCAUGCCCAGCUGGAACUUGGGUUUUACACAGUGAAUUGCCUCUCCUGUGUCAUUCAUGUGCCUUUUGGUAUCAGAAUUCCUCAAAUUUUCAAAAUCAUUGUAGUAUCUCUCUCUCAUUUGCUUUUGUUCUCAUUGCUGUUUUUUUCGCCUUUUGUAGUAUGAUGAGAAAUAAAUGUGUGCUUCACUUACUCUGUAAACACAAGUUUUACUUUUAGUAUUUUCUAUGACAAAAAUGGUCAUAGAACUGGCAUAUAACUGGUUGUGUGUCCUAUUUGUGCUUUUAAAUUUUCUAUUUAAUUAUUUUCUAGUUUUAUCUUCAUCAAGUUCUUUUAAAUGUAUUCUCUGGGUUUCUUAUUCUUCUGUACUCUUGUAACUCUUGUGUUUUAACCGUAUUUUUUGGCUUGAACUCACUAAAAUAAUUCUUCAGCUCUGAUAUUAUUUUCUCCCCAUUUCAUUUUGAACACACUACCUUAAAAUUCUACACACAAAUAUACAUAUAAACAUAAGUGGAGUUUAGUGGAUAAAAUUAUUAUACUGUACAGAUCUGUACCUGGUUGAUAACCAGGUUAAGAAAUUCAAUUCCAUUGAAGCCUGUUAUAUGUACUUUCCCAAUCAGUCCUAUUCUUUUUUCCACAAAGAUAACUAUAAUUUGAACUUAGUGUUACUCAUUCUGAUUUUCUCUUUAUACUUACCUUCCCAUAGCUCUCCAAAUAGUUUACAUUUGCAUGUGUUUGAAAUUUUGUGAAAUGAUGUUCUGUGUAUUCUGUCACUUCUGUUUUAUUUCAUUUUUUUUUGGUACUGGGGAUUGAACCCAAGGCCACUUCACCACUGAGCUGUACACCUAACCCUUUUUAUUUUUGGUACCUGGGAUUGAACUCAGGGUCAUUGAACCACUGAGCCACAUCCCCAGCCCUUUUUAUAUUUUAUUUUGAGACAGGGUCUUGCUCACUUGCUUAGGGCCUUGCUAUGUUGCUGAGGCUGGCUUUGGACUUGCGAUCCUCCUACCUCAGCCACCUGAGCUGCUGGGAUCACAGGCAUGGAUCACUGUGCCCAGCACUUUUUUUUUUUUUUUUUUUUUUUUUUAAUUUUGAGACAGGGCCUUCCUAAGUUGCUAAGGCUGGCCUUGAACUUGUGAUCCUCCUGCCUUGGCCUCUUAAGUCACUAGGAUUACAGUUGUACACGACUGAACCCAGUCUAUCACUUUUUUAAACCCAAGAUUAUGUUUUGGGUAUUUUUUCAUAAAUCUGUUUAGUUCAUUUUCUUGCUGCUGGGUGGUAUUCUACUGUGUGCAUAUGCCAAUUUUUAUUUAAUAUUCUACUCUUGACAGACACCCCCUCCCCACUCCCCAUACUAAUGGUGCUGCUAUGAACAGUUCUGUGUGCCUUUAAAAGUGAAUAUGUAUGGGCUGGGGUUGUGCUUCAGUGGCAGAGCACUUGCCCUAGCAUGUGUGAGGAACUGGAAUUGAUUCUCAGAAAUGCAUAUAAAUAAAUAAAAUAAAAUAAAGGCCCAUUGACAACUAAAAAAAUAUUUUAAAAAAAGGUGUAUAUGUGUUAGGAUAACUCUAGAGUAUAAUUCCUACAAGUAGGAUUUACUUUUGGAGUCUCUGCUAAAUCUUCUGGAUAUGUACCUUUGGCUUGUAGUUUUGCAGUGGUAUUCUAGUUCAUGACUUGGUUUUUACCUUCUUUAUGGUGUCUUUUUGACCAAUAAGAAUAUCUAUCAUUCCUUUAAAUAUCAGAAAUUCUGUUUAAGAAACUCUUCCCUAGUAUAAGGUUGUAAAGAUACUCUGUUCUCUUACAAAGAGUUUAAUAAUUUUCUUUUAUAUUACUGUACUUAAGCCAUAUUAAAUUGUUUUUUCAAAUAAUGUGAAGAAUCUAUUGUAUUUCCCAUAUGAUAACAAAUUAUCUGAACAUUAUGUUAACUUUAUAAUAUUCUGAUAACAUUACUAAAAAUGUUUAUAGAUAUUCAUAAUAAAUUGAUUUUCCAAA